This 1341-nucleotide ribosomal RNA is filed under the name uncultured bacterium. RNAcentral describes it as "partial 16S ribosomal RNA". It matches the Rfam family "Bacterial small subunit ribosomal RNA", at positions 28 to 1381 of the family's 1533-position model. The record is from RNAcentral.
GACGAACGCUGGCGGCGUGCUUAACACAUGCAAGUCGAACGGUAAGGCUCCAGCUUGCUGGGGUACACGAGUGGCGAACGGGUGAGUAACACGUGGGUGACCUGCCCUGCACUUCGGGAUAAGCCUGGGAAACUGGGUCUAAUACCGGAUAGGACCGCACCGUGAGGGUGUGGUGGAAAGUUUUUUCGGUGUGGGAUGGGCCCGCGGCCUAUCAGCUUGUUGGUGGGGUAAUGGCCUACCAAGGCGGCGACGGGUAGCCGGCCUGAGAGGGUGGACGGCCACAUUGGGACUGAGACACGGCCCAGACUCCUACGGGAGGCAGCAGUGGGGAAUAUUGCACAAUGGGCGGAAGCCUGAUGCAGCGACGCCGCGUGGGGGAUGACGGCCUUCGGGUUGUAAACUCCUUUCACCAUCGACGAAGGGUUUCUGACGGUAGAUGGAGAAGAAGCACCGGCUAACUACGUGCCAGCAGCCGCGGUAAUACGUAGGGUGCGAGCGUUGUCCGGAAUUACUGGGCGUAAAGAGCUCGUAGGUGGUUUGUCGCGUCGUCUGUGAAAUUCCGGGGCUUAACUCCGGGCGUGCAGGCGAUACGGGCAUAACUUGAGUACUGUAGGGGAGACUGGAAUUCCUGGUGUAGCGGUGAAAUGCGCAGAUAUCAGGAGGAACACCGGUGGCGAAGGCGGGUCUCUGGGCAGUAACUGACGCUGAGGAGCGAAAGCAUGGGGAGCGAACAGGAUUAGAUACCCUGGUAGUCCAUGCCGUAAACGGUGGGCGCUAGGUGUGGGUUUCCUUCCACGGGAUCCGUGCCGUAGCUAACGCAUUAAGCGCCCCGCCUGGGGAGUACGGCCGCAAGGCUAAAACUCAAAGGAAUUGACGGGGGCCCGCACAAGCGGCGGAGCAUGUGGAUUAAUUCGAUGCAACGCGAAGAACCUUACCUGGGCUUGACAUAUACAGGAUCGCGCCAGAGAUGGUGUUUCCCUUGUGGCUUGUAUACAGGUGGUGCAUGGUUGUCGUCAGCUCGUGUCGUGAGAUGUUGGGUUAAGUCCCGCAACGAGCGCAACCCUUGUCUUAUGUUGCCAGCACGUUGUGGUGGGGACUCGUAAGAAACUGCCGGGGUUAACUCGGAGGAAGGUGGGGAUGACGUCAAAUCAUCAUGCCCCCUAUGUCCAGGGCUUCACACAUGCUACAAUGGUCGGUACAGUGGGUCGCCAGUCCGUGAGGGCGAGCUAAUCCCGCAAAGCCGGUCUCAGUUCGGAUCGGGGUCUGCAACUCGACCCCGUGAAGUCGGAGUCGCUAGUAAUCGCAGAUCAGCAACGCUGCGGUGAAUACGUUCCCGGGCCU